AGAGUGGUUCCGUGGGCA
Molecule: transfer RNA, 18 nt
Filed under: Atherinosoma microstoma (small-mouth hardyhead)
Lineage: Eukaryota; Metazoa; Chordata; Actinopteri; Atheriniformes; Atherinidae
Description: partial tRNA-Phe
Source: RNAcentral